AACUCGCCUCAGCGUGGCCGCCAUGAUGGUGGAGGCUGUAGUGGGCUGAGGGGGAGGCAGGGAGGAGGGUUGUGAGGGGGCGAGUGGCACAAGCCCCGGCUCUGCGGCACCCCGAGGGUCGCAGGGACUUGUCUUGCCGGCCUAAGUGUCCCUGGGGGUCCCGGUCCCCCCCACCAGGGCCGCCCCUGCCCCGAGCGCGCGAGCGGGCCUAGGCGUUGCGAUGGCGCCGGGGCCUCGUCGCGCAAUGCAGCUGCGGUUGGAGCCUCCCAGCUCCUACGGGCUGACUGAAAAGGGCCUCAGGUUGAGCCAGGGCCCUGCAGGCCAGAAAUACAGGGGCCAGCGGGGCAGUUUGGGGGGCCGCAGGCAUGACCCUCCGCCCCGCGGGGGCUUUGGCCGCGUUUUGGGGGCCCGCCAGUGGUGGGAAGCACCCCAGAGAGGACAAGACAGCAAAAAAUGCUCUUUUCCCAGGAAUAUCCCUGUAUCCAGCAGCUUUUCCCCUUGUGCCGGCUUUGUGGCACGGCUGGGCAGCCGGAGCGACGUGGUGUGGGCAGCGCCCAAGCUCCAAGAGAAGCCUUCACCCUCUCCCUUGCUUGGAAACCUCCCUGGGACGAAACCAGCCAGCUUUGGGGAGAAAAUGGGCUUUUUAAAAAAUUUUUUCCCUCUGGGAGCCACCUAUCAGCCUGUUUACCGCUAGAUGGCAAUCUGUGACCGAGCUGGCUGGCUCGGGUGCCCCGGCUGAGGAGAGCCAGCGGCAUUUCGGGACAGAGCGGCCACAUCCCAGCGAUUAAAUCCAUGCCUGUAUCCCGGUAUCCCGCAGGAGGACGGGGCGAGCACGCUCCCAGCCUCCCGCUGUUGGUGGCUCCGGCCUCCCCGCUGCACUGGGGGUCUUUUAUAGCCCUUUGACUGUUUUAACUUUUCCUCUUGCAGUGUCCUGUGGCACCGUGCGCGUAGACAACCCCGCUCCACAGCAGCUUCUGUCUCUUUGGAGGUGGAGGGGUGAUCGAUGAGAUACAAAACAGCAAAAAAACCUUAGGGAAGAGCCGCUCGCGCCUCCUGCUUGAGUUUGCACGUGUGCCGGGAGGUGACAGGAGGGACGCGAGUCACCCGGGGAGGGGACGACGGCAGCUGCAGGAACAAAGGAUGGGGACAUGGCCGAGGAAGAGGGCUGGCGGUCCCCGCGUCCCCGGGACGAGGCGGCCCGGGGUGGCGGAUUUGGGGUGGCCCCGGCGGCCCGCGCUGGGUGCGGGGAAGGAGCGCUCACCUUCUCGGCGUGCACCUCGAUCUGGUUGUUGGAGGUGGUGACGAUGAUGUCCUCGGGGGCGAAGUCGCUGACAUCCACCGUGAACUGGUAGGUGUUGCCCAAGGUCUUAAUGUUGCCCGCGGCGCCGGGCCGAGCUGCGGGAGAGGAGAGGUGCUCGGGGGACUCCUGGGUCCCUCCGCGCCAUGGCCUUUCCGCCCCCUCCGCUCCCCUCGCCGCCGCCGCGCGGGCGGAGGCGAUUUGGGAAGCGUCCCCCUUUCCCGAGGCUUUUCCCUCGGCCCGGCCCUCCGUCCCGCCGCCGAGCCCGACUUGCCUGGGAAAACCAGCGGCUCCACGCGCGGCCGCACGAAGGUGCCGAAAAGCUCCAUGGGGCGGGCGGGCGACGGCGACGAGCUCCGGUGGAAGCUGUGCUCCGAGCGGAAAGCCGAGGAGGACUUCAAGUUCAUCCACCGCCGCGAGCGCUUGCGGGGAAAACGGGGAGCGAAACAGCCGGGGAAAAGGAGGAAAAGCGGCGAGCGCAACCCCGCAGGUGCCGCCCCGUAAAAGCCUCGCAACGCCCGGGGAGGAAUCCGGCUCCGAGAUGCGAACGGGCAAGACUCGCGGACGGAGCCGGCGAGUUCAGAGGCGGCUCUUGAGCUUAUAAAGCCCUGUUAGGCGCUCGGCCGCCUUCCAGACCUCUUGUAAAACAGGCUAAAUUUAGGUCCUGCUACAUCACUCCGGAGAGCGUGGAAAUUUUCCUCUCCCCCCCCCUCCCCGCUCCUCCUCCCAAUCCCGGCCACAAACAAGCGGCGGAGGGAAGAAUCCGAUCCCAUUGCUGGCGUUCCUGCCCGCCUGGAUAAUGCGGCUCCUGGCGGCACCGGGACCCGAUUUCCCAAAAAAAGGAAGAGGGGGAAGAGAGCGCAAGGUGCGGGCAAAGGAAACGGCCGCGGGAUGCGAUUCUCCCUGCUUCUCGCUCCGGUCCCGGCUCUGGUUUCGGGGCGAUGGGAGGAGAUUUGGGGGCUGCCCCAGAGGGAAGAUUUUCUGAGCAAAAAGGCCGGAAGCUGCACCCCGGUAGCGGCAUUUCGGGACGUGCUAAAACCGGUGCUAAAACCCUGGAAAAAUCGGGUUUUGCACGCUGCGAACAGCCAGCAUCGGGGACGGCUCGGCGAACGCGUUUCCCGGGCCCGUCUCUGGCACCGGGCCGAACCUCAGCUCGCAAAAUGGGUGCUGUGUCCCCCCCCCGUCACCCAUGGGAGGGGUCCUGAGGCGCUUCCCACCCAGGCGAUGCCCCGGGAGGCUGUGGGGAGCCCGUGGGUGCCGCCGGGCUGCGGUGGCUCCUGGCGAAACGACCGUCAAGGUCGUGUGAGGUUUACAACAACAAUAAUAAUAAUAAAAAAACCCAGGCGUUGA
This is a long non-coding RNA of Dromaius novaehollandiae (emu), 2647 nucleotides long. RefSeq lists it as uncharacterized. The record is from RefSeq and is a predicted model, not a curated record. Lineage: Eukaryota; Metazoa; Chordata; Aves; Casuariiformes; Dromaiidae. The transcript is spliced from 3 exons.